GCCUGGGUGGCUCAGUUGGUUAGGCGGCUGACUUCGGCUCAGGGCAUGAACUCGCAGUUCGUGGGUUCGAGCCCCACAUCAGGCU
Transfer RNA from Felis catus (domestic cat), 85 nucleotides. It matches the Rfam family "tRNA". Rfam says of the family: Transfer RNA (tRNA) molecules are approximately 80 nucleotides in length. Their secondary structure includes four short double-helical elements and three loops (D, anti-codon, and T loops). Further hydrogen bonds mediate the characteristic L-shaped molecular structure. tRNAs have two regions of fundamental functional importance: the anti-codon, which is responsible for specific mRNA codon recognition, and the 3' end, to which the tRNAs corresponding amino acid is attached (by aminoacyl-tRNA synthetases). tRNAs cope with the degeneracy of the genetic code in two manners: having more than one tRNA (with a specific anti-codon) for a particular amino acid; and 'wobble' base-pairing, i.e. permitting non-standard base-pairing at the 3rd anti-codon position. Lineage: Eukaryota; Metazoa; Chordata; Mammalia; Carnivora; Felidae. The record is from Rfam.